Molecule: long non-coding RNA, 243 nt
Organism: Corvus hawaiiensis (hawaiian crow)
Lineage: Eukaryota; Metazoa; Chordata; Aves; Passeriformes; Corvidae
Exons: 3
Source: RefSeq, a predicted model, not a curated record
CACGUUGUGCUCAUCUGCCAGUCCAUACAGACAUUCCACAGAAUCAGAGAAUGGCUGAGGUUGGAAGUUGGUCAUAUUGUCCAACCUCUUGUACAAGCAAGGCCACCCUGAGCAGGUUGCCAAGGACAAUGACAACCUGCCUUUUAAGUAUCUUCAAGGAUGGAGACUCCCCAACCUCUCUGAGUGACCCGUGCCAGUGCUCAGUCCCACACACUGUGAUAGUGAUUCAGUUUGUGCCAACUG